GACAAACGCUGGCGGCGUGCUUAACACAUGCAAGUCGAACGGAAAGGCCCUGCUUUUGUGGGGUGCUCGAGUGGCGAACGGGUGAGUAACACGUGAGUAACCUGCCCUUGACUUUGGGAUAACUUCAGGAAACUGGGGCUAAUACCGGAUAGGAGCUCCUGCUGCAUGGUGGGGGUUGGAAAGUUUCGGCGGUUGGGGAUGGACUCGCGGCUUAUCAGCUUGUUGGUGGGGUAGUGGCUUACCAAGGCUUUGACGGGUAGCCGGCCUGAGAGGGUGACCGGCCACAUUGGGACUGAGAUACGGCCCAGACUCCUACGGGAGGCAGCAGUGGGGAAUAUUGCACAAUGGGCGGAAGCCUGAUGCAGCAACGCCGCGUGCGGGAUGACGGCCUUCGGGUUGUAAACCGCUUUCGCCUGUGACGAAGCGUGAGUGACGGUAAUGGGUAAAGAAGCACCGGCUAACUACGUGCCAGCAGCCGCGGUGAUACGUAGGGUGCGAGCGUUGUCCGGAUUUAUUGGGCGUAAAGGGCUCGUAGGUGGUUGAUCGCGUCGGAAGUGUAAUCUUGGGGCUUAACCCUGAGCGUGCUUUCGAUACGGGUUGACUUGAGGAAAGUAGGGGAGAAUGGAAUCUCCUGGUGGAGCGGGUGGAAUGCGCAGAUAUCAGGAAGGAACACCAGUGCGCGCAAUGUCUGUUCUCUGGGCCUUUUCCUGACGCUGAAGGAGCGAAAGCGUGGGGAGCGAACAGGCUUAGAUACCCUGGUAGUCCACGCUGUAAACGGUGGGUACUAGGUGUGGGGUCCAUUCCACGGGUUCCGUGCCGUAGCUAACGCUUUAAGUACCCCGCCUGGGGAGUACGGCCGCAAGGCUAAAACUCAAAGGAAUUGACGGGGCCCCGCACAAGCGGCGGAGCAUGCGGAUUAAUUCGAUGCAACGCGUAGAACCUUACCUGGAUUUGACAUGGAUCGGGAGUGCUCAGAGAUGGGUGUGCCUCUUUUGGGGUCGGUUCACAGGUGGUGCAUGCCUGUCGUCAGCUCGUGUCGUGAGAUGUUGGGUUAAGUCCCGCAACGAGCGCAACCCUUGUUCACUGUUGCCAGCACGUUAUGGUGGGGACUCAGUGGAGACCGCCGGGGUCAACUCGGAGGAAGGUGGGGAUGACGUCAAGUCACCAUGCCCCUUAUGUCCAGGGCUUCACGCAUGCUACAAUGGCUGGUACAGAGAGUGGCGAGCCUGUGAGGGUGAGCGAAUCUCGGAAAGCCGGUCUCAGUUCGGAUUGGGGUCUGCAACUCGACCUCAUGAAGUCGGAGUCGCUAGUAAUCGCAGAUCAGCAACGCUGCGGUGAAUACGUUCCCGGGGCU
This 1354-nucleotide ribosomal RNA is filed under the name uncultured bacterium. Its description in RNAcentral is "bacterial SSU rRNA". It matches the Rfam family "Bacterial small subunit ribosomal RNA", at positions 28 to 1381 of the family's 1533-position model. The record is from RNAcentral.